ACGGGGUAUGACUGUUGCAGUCAAUUUCUCACCUUCUGGAGAAAUAUGAUGUCCUUAAUUGGGUGUCAUAUGGAACCAGGACUUUUACCUUGAAAAAAUUAGAGUGUUUAAAGCAAGCUUAUUGCUCGAAUACAUUAGCAUGGAAUAAUAAAAUAGGACGGCAUGAUUCUAUUUUGUUGGUUUCUAGGAUCACCGUAAUGAUUAAUAGGGAUAGUUGGGGGCAUUAGUAUUCAAUUGUCAGAGGUGAAAUUCUUGGAUUUAUUGAAGACUAACUACUGCGAAAGCAUUUGCCAAGGAUGUUUUCAUUAAUCAAGAACGAAAGUUAGGGGAUCGAAGACGAUCAGAUACCGUCGUAGUCUUAACCAUAAACUAUGCCGACUAGGAAUCAGACGAUGUUAAUUUUUUAAUGACUCGUUGGGCACCUUACG
RNAcentral lists this ribosomal RNA (428 nucleotides) under uncultured Glomeromycotina. RNAcentral's name for it is "SSU rRNA". It matches the Rfam family "Eukaryotic small subunit ribosomal RNA", at positions 668 to 1092 of the family's 1831-position model. The record is from RNAcentral. Lineage: Eukaryota; Fungi; Glomeromycota.